RNAcentral lists this transfer RNA (75 nucleotides) under Clostridium sp. RNAcentral's name for it is "tRNA-Asn". It matches the Rfam family "tRNA". Rfam says of the family: Transfer RNA (tRNA) molecules are approximately 80 nucleotides in length. Their secondary structure includes four short double-helical elements and three loops (D, anti-codon, and T loops). The record is from RNAcentral. RNAcentral also lists the same sequence under 2 other names. Lineage: Bacteria; Bacillati; Bacillota; Clostridia; Eubacteriales; Clostridiaceae.
UCCACGGUAGCUCAAUGGUGGAGCACUCGGCUGUUAACCGAUAGGCUGGAGGUUCGAGUCCUCUCCGUGGAGCCA